UGGCUCUGGCAUCGAUGAAGAACGCAGCGAAAUGCGAUAAGUAAUGUGAAUUGCAGAAUUCAGUGAAUCAUCGAAUCUUUGAACGCACAUUGCGCCCGCCAGUAUUCUGGCGGGCAUGCCUGUUCGAGCGUCAUUAACACCCCUCAAGCCCCCGGGCUUGGUGUUGGGGAUCGGGAGCGGCGGAGCCGGAAGAACCCCCCUCGGGGGGUCCGUACGGCGAAGCCCCCGUCCCCCAAAUGCAUCGGCGGUCACGCCGCGGCCUCUUGCGCGUAGUAGCUAACACCUCGCGCCGGAGCCCGUCGUGGUCCACGCCGUAAAACCCCCGACUUUUUCAAGUUGACCUCGAAUCAGGUAGGACUACCCGCUGA
RNAcentral lists this unclassified non-coding RNA (368 nucleotides) under uncultured fungus. RNAcentral describes it as "partial contains 5.8S ribosomal RNA and internal transcribed spacer 2". The stretch from base 1 to 133 matches the Rfam family "5.8S ribosomal RNA", at positions 22 to 154 of the family's 154-position model. The record is from RNAcentral. Lineage: Eukaryota; Fungi.